UUGAGAGUUUGAUCCUGGCUCAGAACGAACGCUGGCGGCAUGCCUAACACAUGCAAGUCGAACGAGAAGCUUCUUCGGAAGUGGACAGUGGCAGACGGGUGAGUAACGCGUGGGGAUCUGCCCAGAGGUUCGGAACAACCAUUGGAAACGAUGGCUAAUACCGGAUAAGCCCGCAAGGGGAAAGAUUUAUCGCCUUUGGAUGAACCCGCGUAAGAUUAGCUAGUUGGUGAGGUAAUGGCUCACCAAGGCGACGAUCUUUAGCUGGUCUGAGAGGAUGAUCAGCCACAUUGGGACUGAGACACGGCCCAGACUCCUACGGGAGGCAGCAGUGGGGAAUAUUGGACAAUGGGGGCAACCCUGAUCCAGCAAUGCCGCGUGUGUGAUGAAGGCCUUAGGGUUGUAAAGCUCUUUUACCAGGGAUGAUAAUGACAGUACCUGGAGAAUAAGCUCCGGCUAACUCCGUGCCAGCAGCCGCGGUAAUACGGAGGGGGCAAGCGUUAUUCAGUUUAAUUUGGUGUAAAGGGUUCGUAGGUUGUAUUUAGGUUGUUUAAAUUAAAAUCAAGAGACUUAACCUCUUUAAUAUUUUUAAAAACACUUUUACUAGAGUAUAAAAAAAGAUUAUAGAAUUUUAAGGGUAGAGAUAAAAUUCUAAGAUCCUUAAAGGAACACCAAAAGCGAAAGCAAUAGUCUUGUUUAUUACUGACACUGAGGAACGAAAGGAUAGGGAGCAAACAGGAUUAGUGACCCUGGUAGUCUAUCCCGUAAACUAUGAGUGCUGAUAUUUAGAAUUUAAAAUUUUGGGUAUUAAGUUAACACGUUAAGCACUCCACCUGAGGAGUAUAGUCGCAAGGCUGGAACUCAAAGGAAUUGACGGGGGCCUAUACAAGUGGUGGAGCAUGUGGUUUAAUGCGAUAAUACGCGCGAAAUCUUACCAGUCUUUGAUUUUAAAAAAUAUUCAACAAGUAGUUUUUGUUAUAAUGUUUUUUUUACAGGUGUUGCAUGGCUGUCGUCAGCUCGUGUUGUGAAAUGUU
Molecule: ribosomal RNA, 1031 nt
Filed under: Pteridomonas danica
Lineage: Eukaryota; Dictyochophyceae; Pedinellales
Description: partial Bacterial small subunit ribosomal RNA
Rfam family: Bacterial small subunit ribosomal RNA
Source: RNAcentral